This 408-nucleotide ribosomal RNA is filed under the name Lithobates palmipes group sp. ABGD cluster 2. Its description in RNAcentral is "partial large subunit ribosomal RNA". It matches the Rfam family "Bacterial large subunit ribosomal RNA", at positions 1834 to 2457 of the family's 2925-position model. The record is from RNAcentral. Lineage: Eukaryota; Metazoa; Chordata; Amphibia; Anura; Ranidae.
CUUGACAAAAUAUAAGAGGUCCAGCCUGCCCAGUGAUAAAUUUAACGGCCGCGGUAUCCUAACCGUGCGAAGGUAGCAUAAUCAUUUGUUCUUUAAAUGGGGACUUGUAUCAACGGCACCACGAGGGCCAUACUGUCUCCUUUCUCUAGUCAGUGAAACUGAUCUCCCCGUGAAGAAGCGGGGAUUUAACUAUUAGACGAGAAGACCCCAUGGAGCUUAAAACUCAUCAUAUAAUUCUGUACCUCAUACCACCUUAAUUCAGAAUCCUAUAUGCUAGUUUUAGGUUGGGGGGACCUCGGAGUAUAAUUUAACCUCCAUAACAAAUGGGCUAAUACCCUUAUCCAAGACAAACACCUCUAAGAAUUAUUAAAUUAAUGUUUAAUGACCCGAUAUAUUCGAUCAAUGAAC